Molecule: ribosomal RNA, 301 nt
Filed under: uncultured bacterium
Lineage: Bacteria
Description: partial 16S ribosomal RNA
Rfam family: Bacterial small subunit ribosomal RNA
Source: RNAcentral
CAGUCGCCGCGGUAAUACGUAGGGCGCAAGCGUUAUCCGGAAUUAUUGGGCGUAAAGAGCUCGUAGGCGGUUUGUCGCGUCUGCCGUGAAAGUCCGGGGCUCAACCCCGGAUCUGCGGUGGGUACGGGCAGACUAGAGUGAUGUAGGGGAGACUGGAAUUCCUGGUGCAGCGGUGAAAUGCGCAGAUAUCAGGAGGAACACCGAUGGCGAAGGCAGGUCUCUGGACCGACACUGACGCUGAGGCGCGAAAGCGUGGGGAGCAAACAGGAUUAGAUACCCGCGUAGUCCCUGUCUCUUAUAC